ACAUGUCCCGUGUGGAUCCUGGAGACAGGAUUCUUCAGUUCGGCUGGCGGGAACACAGGUGCUGCAUGGCUGUCGUCAGCUCGUGUCGUGAGAUGUUGGGUUAAGUCCCGCAACGAGCGCAACCCUCGCCCUUAGUUGCCAUCAUUCGGUUGGGCACUCUAAGGGGACUGCCGGUGAUAAGCCGAGAGGAAGGUGGGGAUGACGUCAAGUCCUCAUGGCCCUUACGGGCUGGGCUACACACGUGCUACAAUGGCGGUGACAAAGGGCAGCGAACCCGCGAGGGGGAGCUAAUCCUUAAAAGCCGUCUCAGUUCAGAUUGCACUCUGCAACUCGAGUGCAUGAAGGCGGAAUCGCUAGUAAUCGUGGAUCAGAACGCCACGGUGAAUACGUUCCCGGGUCUUG
Molecule: ribosomal RNA, 402 nt
Filed under: uncultured Microvirga sp.
Lineage: Bacteria; Pseudomonadati; Pseudomonadota; Alphaproteobacteria; Hyphomicrobiales; Methylobacteriaceae
Description: bacterial SSU rRNA
Rfam family: Bacterial small subunit ribosomal RNA
Source: RNAcentral